CCUACGGGUUGCAGCAGUAGGGAAUCUUCGGCAAUGGACGAAAGUCUGACCGAGCAACGCCGCGUGAGUGAAGAAGGUUUUCGGAUCGUAAAGCUCUGUUGUAAGAGAAGAACGAGUGUGAGAGUGGAAAGUUCACACUGUGACGGUAUCUUACCAGAAAGGGACGGCUAACUACGUGCCAGCAGCCGCGGUAAUACGUAGGUCCCGAGCGUUAUCCGGAUUUAUUGGGCGUAAAGCGAGCGCAGGCGGUUAGAUAAGUCUGAAGUUAAAGGCUGUGGCUUAACCAUAGUACGCUUUGGAAACUGUUUAACUUGAGUGCAAGAGGGGAGAGUGGAAUUCCAUGUGUAGCGGUGAAAUGCGUAGAUAUAUGGAGGAACACCGGUGGCGAAAGCGGCUCUCUGGCUUGUAACUGACGCUGAGGCUCGAAAGCGUGGGGAGCAAACAGGAUUAGAUACCCGCGUAGUC
Molecule: ribosomal RNA, 465 nt
Filed under: uncultured bacterium
Lineage: Bacteria
Description: bacterial SSU rRNA
Rfam family: Bacterial small subunit ribosomal RNA
Source: RNAcentral